Molecule: long non-coding RNA, 2361 nt
Filed under: Coturnix japonica (Japanese quail)
Lineage: Eukaryota; Metazoa; Chordata; Aves; Galliformes; Phasianidae
Description: lncRNA (ENSCJPG00005005751.1)
Source: RNAcentral
CACGACCUCUACGAGCACGUCUUCUACGCCAUAGAUAAGACUGCCUGGGAGUGGACCCCGAAGACCCCCAUCCUCUCCCCCCCGAACUGGAGCGCAGCUACAAGAACUUCACCUUCAAAUUCCACAAGUAAUGGCUGUUGCCUUCCCUGCUGCAUUCAGGUGCUGAGCACGUGCCCGACCAAUGGAUUUCCUCAUGCUUUGAGCCUCAGGCUCCAUUUACCAGCACAAAAAAACCACUUGUUUGCUUUAAAACCCUCAUAAGAGAGAAACAAAUCCACCCUUGGGCUGAGGGGGGAUGUGAAACCACUUUGAUUGCACAAGAAUCAGCUGCUUUCCGGCCCUGUCUCUAUUGGUUGCAGGGCUGCUCUCAAAGCUCUAUUUCUACCCUGUAAUAUUUGUGUGUUGAGGGUUAUUCCCUUGCUCUGCUUUUUGCUGUGUUUUCUUGGCCUUUCAGCACAAUCAGCUCCUUGUUUCAGCUGAUGUUGGUGCUGAGAGAUGCAACAAGGCUCCCCACAAAGCCCGAUUGAAUGACACUGGGGCCCCUCCAAGGCUAGAAAUGCCUUUAUUAUGGCUAGAAAUGCACUUUUAUGGCUAGAAAUGCCAUUUUUAUGGCUAGAAAUGCCUUUAUUAUGGCUAGAAAUGCCUUUAUUAUGGCUAGAAAUGCCUUUUUUAUGACUAGAAAUGCACUUUUAUGGCUAGAAAUGCCUUUUUUAUGGCUAGAAAUGCCUUUUUUAUGGCUAGAAAUGCCUUUUUUAUGGCUAGAAAUGCACUAUUAUGGCUAGAAAUGCCUUUCUUAUGGCUAGAAAUGCCUUUCUUAUGGNAGAAAUGCCUUUCUUAUGGCUAGAAAUGCCUUUCUUAUGGCUAGAAAUGCCUUUUCUUAUGGCUAGAAAUGCCUUUUUUAUGCCUAGAAAUGCUUUUCUUAUGGCUAGAAAUGCACUUUAUGGCUAGAAAUGCCUUUUUUAUGCCUAGAAAUGCCUUUUUUAUGGCUAUAAAUGCCUUUUCUUAUGGCUAGAAAUGCCUUCUUUAUGGCUAGAAAUGCCAUUUUUAUGGCUAGAAAUGCCAUUUUUAUGGCUAGAAAUGCCAUUUUUAUGGCUAGAAAUGCCUUUUUUAUGGCUAUGCACAGCCCUAAAACAAGUCUACCCCCAUUGCUGUGGCUAUUUGACCCAGUGCUGCGUUAUGGCCAUUGGUUCAGGUCUGUAUUACACACUGGAUUUGCCCUAAGAUGGAUCUUAAUGACUGUCUCCAUCCCACAGGCUCAUCAACGUCACCAUCCAGUUCAAGCUGAAAGCCAUCAACAUCCAGACCAUCAUCAACAACGAGAUCCCGGACUGUUACACCUUCACCAUCACUAUCACAUUUGAUAACAAGGCCCACAGUGGCCGGGUGAAAAUCCACCUGGACAACAGGGCUGACAUCAAGGAGUGCAAAGAUCACAGCGUGUAUGGACGAGGUAUGAGCUGGAUUGAUGGGCACAGAGGUGGCAUCAAACCCCAAAGGGCACAAUAGGGUCAAUGGGGAGGUGCUGGUGCCCCUAUUUAAUGCCAUUGUGCCCCUAUUUAAUGCCAUUGUGCCCCUAUUCAAUGCCAUUGUGCCCCUAUUNNNNNNNNNNNNNNNNNNNNNNNNNAUGGAUUGGGUUGGAUGAUCUUAUAGGGCUUUUAUAGCCUUUAAUGUGGGUAUGGAUUGGGUUGGGUGAUCUUAUAGGCUCUUUAUAACCCUAUUGAUUGCAUGGAUUGGGUUGGAUGAUCUUAUAGGGUUUUUAUAGUUUUUAAUGAUGGCAUGGAUUGGGUUGGUUGAUCUUAUAGGGCUCUUAUAGCCCUAAUAAUGGCAUGGAUUGGGUUGGGUGAUCUUAUAGGGCUCUUAUAGCCCUAAUAAUGGCAUGGAUUGGGUUGGGUGAUCUUAUAGGGCUUUUCCAGCCCUAUUUGAUGGCAUGGAUUGGGUUGGAUGAUCUUAAUGGGCUUUUAUGGCCCUAAUGAUGGCAUGGAUUGGGUUGGGUGAUCUUAAAGGGCUCUUAUCUCCUUUAAUGAUGGCAUGGAUUGGGUUGGAUGAUCUUAUAGGGUGAUCUUAUAGGUCUUUUCCAGCCCUUAGGGCUUUUAUGGCCCUAAUGAUGGCAUGGAUUGGGUUGGGUGAUCCUAAAGGGCUUUUAUAGUCCUAAUGAUGGCUUGGAUUGGGAUGAAUGAUCUUAUAGGGUCUUUAUAGCCCUAAUGAUGGUAUGGAUUGGGUUGGGUGAUCUUAUAGGGUGAUCUUAUAGGUCCUAUUGAUUGUAUUGAUUGGGUUGGAUGAUCUUAAAGGGCUUUUAUAGCCCUAAUAAUGGCAUGGAUUGGGUUGGGUGAUCUUAAAGGGCUUUUAUAGCCCUAAUAAUUG